AUGGGAUUUUUGCUCCUUUUAGUUUUCUCUUUAGCAGCUUUGGAAGGUGUCUGGUCGCAGGUGCAGCUGGUGGAGUCCGGAGGGGAUGUGAAAAAGCCCGGAGACUCUCUCCGCCUCUCCUGCAAAGCCUCCGGGUUCACCUUCAGCAGCGCCUACAUGAGCUGGGUCCGGCAGGCUCCUGGGAAGGGGCUGGAAUGGGUCGCUUAUAUUAGCAGCAGUGGGGGUACUAUAUACCUUGAUUCAGUGAAAGGCCGGUUCACCAUCUCCAGGGAUAAUCCCAAGAGUGAGCUGUAUCUGCAAAUGAGCGGCCUGAAGCCCGAGGACACCGCCCGCUAUUACUGUGCGAGAGACACAGCUUGCGGCGUCAAACAGCUAAUUGGUGCCGCAAGCCUGGGAGGCGGGAAAAGCGAAGCAGCGACUGCGCAGUGGAACCCCCAGGCUGCCAGCGGUGCCGGGGGGGCUCAGCGCAGCCGCCGCUGA
Mauremys mutica (yellowpond turtle) is the source of this 480-nucleotide non-coding RNA. Lineage: Eukaryota; Metazoa; Chordata; Testudines; Geoemydidae. The record is from the annotation of a RefSeq genome assembly.